UAGGGAAUCUUCGGCAAUGGACGAAAGUCUGACCGAGCAACGCCGCGUGAGUGAAGAAGGUUUUCGGAUCGUAAAACUCUGUUGUUAGAGAAGAACAAGGACGUUAGUAACUGAACGUCCCCUGACGGUAUCUAACCAGAAAGCCACGGCUAACUACGUGCCAGCAGCCGCGGUAAUACGUAGGUGGCAAGCGUUGUCCGGAUUUAUUGGGCGUAAAGCGAGCGCAGGCGGUUUCUUAAGUCUGAUGUGAAAGCCCCCGGCUCAACCGGGGAGGGUCAUUGGAAACUGGGAGCCUUGAGUGCAGAAGAGGAGAGUGGAAUUCCAUGUGUAGCGGUGAAAUGCGUAGAUAUAGGGAGGAACACCAGUGGCGAAGGCGGCUCUCUGGUCUGUAACUGACGCUGAGGCUCGAAAGCGUGGGGAGCAAACAGG
Molecule: ribosomal RNA, 429 nt
Filed under: Gemmatimonadota bacterium
Lineage: Bacteria; Pseudomonadati; Gemmatimonadota
Description: Gemmatimonadetes bacterium partial 16S ribosomal RNA
Rfam family: Bacterial small subunit ribosomal RNA
Source: RNAcentral